AUACUUACCUGGCAGGGGAGAUACCAUGAUCACAAAGCCUUUGCCAGGACGAGGCUUAUCCAUUGCACUCCGGAUGUGCUGACCCCUGCGAUUUCCUCAAAUGUGGGAAACUUGACUGCAUAAUUUGUGGUAGUGGGGGACUGGUUGGAGCUUUCCCCUG
Molecule: small nuclear RNA, 160 nt
Organism: Cebus imitator (Panamanian white-faced capuchin)
Lineage: Eukaryota; Metazoa; Chordata; Mammalia; Primates; Cebidae
Gene: U1
Rfam family: U1 spliceosomal RNA
About the family: U1 is a small nuclear RNA (snRNA) component of the spliceosome (involved in pre-mRNA splicing). Its 5' end forms complementary base pairs with the 5' splice junction, thus defining the 5' donor site of an intron.
Source: Ensembl